GUGGGGAAUAUUGGACAAUGGGCGAAAGCCUGAUCCAGCCAUGCCGCGUGUGUGAAGAAGGUCUUCGGAUUGUAAAGCACUUUAAGUUGGGAGGAAGGGCAGUAAGUUAAUACCUUGCUGUUUUGACGUUACCGACAGAAUAAGCACCGGCUAACUUCGUGCCAGCAGCCGCGGUAAUACGAAGGGUGCAAGCGUUAAUCGGAAUUACUGAGCGUAAAGCGCGCGUAGGUGGUUUUGUAAGUUGGAGGUGAAAUCCCCGGGCUCAACCUGGGAACUGCCUCCAAAACUGCAUGACUAGAGUACGGUAGAGGGUAGUGGAAUUUCCUGUGUAGCGGUGAAAUGCGUAGAUAUAGGAAGGAACACCAGUGGCGAAGGCGACUACCUGGACUGAUACUGACACUGAGGUGCGAAAGCGUGGGGAGCAAACAGGAUUAGAUACCCGGGUAGUCC
This 450-nucleotide ribosomal RNA is filed under the name uncultured bacterium. RNAcentral describes it as "bacterial SSU rRNA". It matches the Rfam family "Bacterial small subunit ribosomal RNA", at positions 354 to 796 of the family's 1533-position model. The record is from RNAcentral.